Molecule: unclassified non-coding RNA, 448 nt
Filed under: Hevea brasiliensis (rubber tree)
Lineage: Eukaryota; Viridiplantae; Streptophyta; Magnoliopsida; Malpighiales; Euphorbiaceae
Source: RNAcentral
CAAAUUGAGAUCAAUUAAACGCUUGAAAUUUAAAGCUAGGUUUUCGAAUUUUUCAGAACCAUUUACAGAGAGGGAGAGGAUGAGCGAGCCGAGGCCAGUGCGGAGGAGAGAGAGUCCAUGGGGGAUGCCAGAAGGAGAGCAUCGUCAACCAAAGCCUCACAGAUGUAAUGAUCGAGCUGAGGAUGUUAUCCAAGCUUGUUUUGAGGGGAACCCAUUUAAAACAGUUCCAGGACCAUUUAAGCUCUUCUGGCAAUGCAUGCGCUCCAAUCCUGGGGAGGAACCGACUGAGCCGUACACUUACUUGCAAAUAGAUCCACCAAAGAGAGAAGCGAAACUUGAGUGAAAUAUGAGUUCCUUUUUGUUCAGAUCAAAUGAUCUUCUACACUUCCCAGUUGUUUGUCGUCAAAUAUGCAUGACUGAUGUAUAAAUUUGGAGAGCCACAAAUGUU